CACGCCGUAAACGAUGAAUACUAAGUGUUGGAGAAAUUCAGUGCUGCAGUUAACGCAAUAAGUAUUCCGCCUGGGGAGUACGCACGCAAGUGUGAAACUCAAAGGAAUUGACGGGGACCCGCACAAGCGGUGGAUUAUGUGGUUUAAUUCGAUGCAACGCGAAGAACCUUACCAAGCCUUGACAUCUUCGGCAAAGCUCUGGAGACAGAGCGGAGGAUAUCCGAAAGACAGGUGG
RNAcentral lists this ribosomal RNA (235 nucleotides) under uncultured bacterium. RNAcentral's name for it is "partial 16S ribosomal RNA". It matches the Rfam family "Bacterial small subunit ribosomal RNA", at positions 796 to 1041 of the family's 1533-position model. The record is from RNAcentral.